Long non-coding RNA from Gossypium arboreum, 1059 nucleotides. RefSeq lists it as uncharacterized. Lineage: Eukaryota; Viridiplantae; Streptophyta; Magnoliopsida; Malvales; Malvaceae. The transcript has 3 exons. The record is from RefSeq and is a predicted model, not a curated record.
AAAGGAUUUCAAUAUACAUUUUCAAUAAUAGUAGGAGAAUUGCCACUUCACUAAAAAGGCUCCAUGGAUAACCACACGCUCGGAACAAGAAGAAGACUCAAGAAAGGCUUGAUGGAGCUCAAGAAUCAAUUGGGUUAAUUGUUGGAGAGGAGCACUACCACCAUCUCUACCACGUUAUUCUCGUUACAAUGGUUUUUCUUCGCCAUCGGUCACCAACUAUAUCAAGAAAUUCUCUUCUAGGUUGUAACUUCUGUUUCUUUUGAGGUUAAUGGUUGUCACUUUAACAUUUGUUUAUAGCCCAUAUUGGCUACUUCAUGUGUUAUUGUUGAAAACUUUGAUCUUUGUUCAUGUGGUUUGCCCUUAUUGACUCAUAAGGAUUCAAGAGUACCAAUUUGAGAUUAAUGGCCUUUGGGGUGAGGCUAAGCUUUGGUUUGAUAUUACAUAUUGAAAAUUCACUAAUGAGAACUCAGUGAUCUGCGGGCUUAAGCCUUAGAAGAUUUUAGUGUUUCUUGGGCUAACUUGGCCAACUAUCUCAAUCCAAAGCUAUCUCGAUAGAAUAUACAAGUAUGCGAAUUGCAGGUUGUCUUGCUUUAUUGUAGCAUACGUUUAUCUUGAUUGGUUUGCUCAAAGGCAAUCCUUGUCGCCCUUUGAUUCUUUCAAUAUUCAUCGCCUGCUUAUUACUAGUGUGCUGGUUGCUACAAAGUUCAUUCCUUCAUGGACGAUAGGUUUACUCGUCACAAAGGAUUUAAGGAGGGUCGUUAAAGAAUUGUUAUGGUCAUAGAUUUGGUUGGAAAGAGAAUUGACAUUGAACGUAUUAGCAUUUUCAUAAACUAUGACAUGCCAAUUUCUGCUGAUACAUACCCACACAUAGUAGGCCUUGUUUCAAUUGUAAUGUCAUACUGAUCUUACUUCUAGUUUUUUUAGUAUAGUUAUUUGACUAAUGUUUUGUGGACUAGUGACGAUACGUUCUUGUCACAUGGAUUAGUAAUUUGUAAGCAUAUUAAUUGGAGCUUGUUGUUAACUAUGUUUAGUUUAUAUCUCCUUUAGUUUUAUGGUUAA